CCCUUAGAUGUCCUGGGCCGCACGCGCGCCACACUGAUGCAUUCAACGAGUUUUACCUUGGCCGAGAGGCCUGGGCAAUCUUUUAAACCUGCACCGUGAUAGGGAUAGAUUAUUGCAAUUAUUAAUCUUGAACGAGGAAUUCCUAGUAAACGCAGUUCAUCAAACUGCAUUGAUUACGUCCCUGCCCUUUGUACACACCGCCCGUCGCACCUACCGAUUGAAUGGUCCGGUGAAAUCUCCGGACUGGCGUGAGUCGGAGCAAUCUGACAAACGCCGGAAAGUUGAUUAAACCUUACCAUUUAGAGGAAGGUGAAGUCGUAACA
Molecule: ribosomal RNA, 323 nt
Filed under: uncultured eukaryote
Lineage: Eukaryota
Description: partial 18S ribosomal RNA
Rfam family: Eukaryotic small subunit ribosomal RNA
Source: RNAcentral